Molecule: long non-coding RNA, 330 nt
Organism: Entelurus aequoreus (snake pipefish)
Lineage: Eukaryota; Metazoa; Chordata; Actinopteri; Syngnathiformes; Syngnathidae
Exons: 3
Source: RefSeq, a predicted model, not a curated record
CGUGACUGUUCCAGGCUAUGGCUGGCAGUGUGUCAGGGACGCAGCUGUUGCUACAUUUGGAGACGAUUAGCUGUGGAAAGGAGAAACGUUAGAAGAGUAUGAAUCUUACUUGCGACAUGAAUAUUCCUGAGGAGCAAAGGAAUCUUCACUUCUAUUCACUUUGCGAUGGAUGGGGAAUAUUCCUCCGAUGACUACAUCUCCCAUGGCAGUGGCUCCCGGUGCUUUGAUGUCGUUUUGCCAGGCGUUCCCUUUGCUUAGAAGAAUAGAGACUAAGAUGAUGAAUAAAUUCGAGGUCAUGGUGUCUUCUGGUUGAAGAAACUUUCUGUGAGU